CCUACGGGAGGCAGCAGUGAGGAAUAUUGGUCAAUGGGCGAGAGCCUGAACCCGCCAAGUCGCGUGAGGGAAGACGGUCCUAUGGAUUGUAAACCUCUUUUGCCGGGGAGCCAAAAGCGGUACGCGUACCGCAUCGAGAGUACCCGGAGAAAAAGCAUCGGCUAACUCCCUACCAGCAGCCGCGGUAAUAAGGAGGAUGCGAGCGUUAUUCGGAUUUUUUGGGUUUAAAGGGUGCGCAGGCGGCGAGUUAAGUCAGCGGUAAAAUUUCGGGGCUCAACCCCUAGAAGCCAUUGAAACUGGCUUGAUAGAGUGGGCGAGAAGUAUGCGGAAUGCGUGGUGUAGCGGGGAAAUGCAUAGAUAUCACGCAGAACUCCGAGUGCGAAGGCAGCAUACCGGCGCCCAACUGACGCUCAGGCACGAAAGCGUGGGUAUCGAACAGGAUUAGAUACCCCAGUAGUC
Molecule: ribosomal RNA, 459 nt
Filed under: uncultured bacterium
Lineage: Bacteria
Description: partial 16S ribosomal RNA
Rfam family: Bacterial small subunit ribosomal RNA
Source: RNAcentral